CGUGUGAGUAAAAAAUAGUUAUUUUCUACCGAGUAUUCUUAAACCUAGUGAAUUCAUAUUGAAUUAAAAGAUAUAUACUAAACUAAAACUAAACUAAGUUACCUAAAGCAUCUAUAACGCAAGUUAUUCCAAGCACCGAUAUCCAGAAUCCAUGUUUGCGAAACAUUACAAAGUGGAUCAUUAAUUAGCAUUGGAUAUUAGUUGGCAUCACAGGAAGGAGAGGAAGAUCUACCGUCAGGUACCGGAUUACCGUCGGUGUAGGAUAAACAGUAAACGU
Long non-coding RNA from Topomyia yanbarensis, 277 nucleotides. RefSeq lists it as uncharacterized. The record is from RefSeq and is a predicted model, not a curated record. Lineage: Eukaryota; Metazoa; Arthropoda; Insecta; Diptera; Culicidae. The transcript is spliced from 3 exons.